RNA transcript from Balaenoptera musculus (blue whale), 1335 nucleotides. It is a transcript of the gene named translation initiation factor IF-2-like, with no coding region annotated. The record is from RefSeq and is a predicted model, not a curated record. The transcript has 4 exons. NCBI's taxonomy places the organism in Eukaryota, Metazoa, Chordata, Mammalia, Artiodactyla, Balaenopteridae.
GGGGGCGGGCCGCCCGGCCUGGCCUAAUGUGGGUGGGUCUCUGCGCCCCCUGCCUACUCAACUUUCCCCUCCAAUUCCCUGCCUCCCUUUGAUGUCCAGCAAGUGCGGACGCGCCUCGUGGGUCGCAGCGGGGAGGGAAGGGGAGAUGGGAGGUGAGCACGGGGGAGGGGUCCGGGCUAAACGGGGGGCGGGGCCCGCGGGUCGAUGCCCCACCCCCCGUCAGAGCCUGACCGCCGGGGGAAAAGCCUCUGGGCGGAGGAGGUGCUUUCAAAACAAAGAAAUGCGGCGUGGAACCCGGGGGACUGGGGUGGUGAGGAAGGCGGAGGAGGUGCGGCUGAGGCCGUCCGGCCGCCCGUUUCCCCUCCAGUCAGCCCGGAGGAGCUCCCCCCACCCCCAGCCCGGGCUGCGGUGCCGGAGAAGAGGGAGGAGGCUGCGUUAGGCGGCUGUUUUCCAGUUCACUUUUGCAGACCAAGGCGGAGAAGAAGAGCACCAGCUCCGCUGCCCCUCUUGGCUGCGGCGCACUCAGCCCCGAGCCCCGCGUGCGCUCUGUCUCGGAUACCGAGCCGGCCAAAGUGUCCGGAAACGCGCAGAGCGCUCGGAACCUGUCCCGCAGCUGUGCGACGCGCGUCUCGAGCUGGCCGCUGCCGCCCCGCCCUCGCGCUCCUUCAGCCCCGCGAGCGGAGAAGCCGGCCCGCCCGCCGGCGCCGAGCUGGGGAACUUGAACUAGCCCCAGCGGCCGCUCUGCCGAGAUCCCGCGCCAGGCCCGGGGGUGCUCCGGCUCGGGGUGGAGGGCACACCGGGGAAGUGGAUUUAGCAAACACACCUUUGAACAGAUCCAGGAGACCAGAAAAACUUACCACCCACAUCUACUCUUCAUAAUCAAGUCAUUGGAUGAAGACAGGCAGGCUCGAGAGAAGAGACAGAAGCCUACAGCACUGCCACCAACUGCCCAGGAUGCAGGGAUUUCAACAGGAAACGGGACCUUUAUGAAUGAAGCACAUUAUUUAUCCCAGUGUGGAGUAAGAAGAGAGAAAAUGAGCUGCAGUUGCUGGAGAAGGAGACUGAGGUUCACCUUAGGAAGAACAUCCUGUCAAUAACAUCGAAGCUCUGGAGAAUCUCAUGGAAGGAGCUUCAGGGUUUUGGUCAACAUUCAUUCUACCAACAUUUACUGAGGACCUUCUGGGCACUUCUUGGUUUGUGCCUAAUUCAGUCACAGAGCUAAAUCGGGAAGAUUUCACUCAAAUGCUUCUCUGGAGGGUUUCCCUAACUUGAAGUAUUGCUAUCUCUUUUUUUCCCAACUUUUCUUCUUAUUCUCUGCCACCUAUGAAGGUUCAC